GAGGUGGGAGGAUCGCUUGAGUCCAGGAGGUUGAGGCUGCAGUGAGUUGUGUUCACACCACUGCACUCCAGCCUGGGUAACAGAGCAAGACCCUGUCUCA
Chlorocebus sabaeus (green monkey) is the source of this 100-nucleotide microRNA precursor. The record is from Ensembl. Lineage: Eukaryota; Metazoa; Chordata; Mammalia; Primates; Cercopithecidae.